UCCCUGUGUCCAGCAUUCCCGGUGCCCGACAUUCCCAGGAGCAUCCCGGUAUUCUUCCUUCCCGGUAUUCCCGAUGUUCCCGGUAUUCCCGGUAUUCCCGGUGUUCCCGGGAGCAUCCCGGUGUUCCCGGUAUUCCCGGUGUUCCCGGUAUUCCCCGUUCCCGGUAUUGCCGGUAUUGCCGGUAUUCCCGAUAUUCCCGGUAUUCCCGGUGUUCCCUGUUCCCGGUAUUCCCGGUGUUCCCCGUUCCCGGUGUUCCCGGUAUUCCCGGUGUUCCCGAUAUUCCCGGUAUUCCCGAUGUUCCCGGUGUUCCCUCUAUUCCCUGUUCCCGGUGUUCCCGGUGUUCCCGGUGUUCCCUCUAUUCCCUGUUCCCGGUGUUCCCGGUGUUCCCGGUGUUCCCGGUGUUCCCUCUAUUCCCUGUUCCCGGUAUUCCCGAUGUUCCCGGUGUUCCCUCUAUUCCCUGUUCCCGAUGUUCCCGGUGUUCCCGGUGUUCCCGGUGUUCCCGGUAUUCCCGGUGUUCCCGGUAUUCCCGGUAUUCCCGGUGUUCCCGGUAUUCCCUGUUCCCGGUAUUGCCGGUAUUGCCGGUAUUCCCGAUGUUCCCGGUGUUCCCGGUGUUCCCUCUAUUCCCCGUUCCCGGUGUUCCCGGUGUUCCCGAUGUUCCCGGUGUUCCCGGUAUUCCCGCUAUUCCCGGGAACAGCCCGGCAUUAGGUGGCGGUGUCGGCCAAGCAGCGCAGCCGGAGCCGCGGCCCCAGGACCAGGUCAGUGUAAAUUCCCAAAUUAACGCGAAAUUCCAUCAAAUCUCCCAACAAACCCCGAGCGGCCCCGCGGAGCCGUCCAAUAACCGGGAAUGGCCGGGAAGCUCCAGGGAUGUGAGCAGCAGCAGAUCUGCCCGUCCUGGAAGGUUAUCCCUGAUUUUCCCUCCUCCCCACAUCCAGAUUUCCUGGAAUUUGUUGCCACCGAGCGGAUUUGGGGGCUGGAAUGUGGGACCCAUCCCCAGGACAGAGCCUUCUGCAUCAGCAGAU
This 1019-nucleotide long non-coding RNA is filed under the name Parus major (Great Tit). Its description in RNAcentral is "lncRNA (ENSPMJG00000009114.1)". Lineage: Eukaryota; Metazoa; Chordata; Aves; Passeriformes; Paridae. The record is from RNAcentral.